UUCCUGUAUUAAAACUUCUAAAUUACAUAAAAAUAAAACAUUAAAAUAACUACUUCUUUUUCAUAUCUUUAACAAAAGUACUAAAAAGGAAACAAUAAUAAUCUAAAGUAGUGAAUAAUCCACGUACCUUGUGCAUUAUGGUUUUACAAGCCCUAAAUUUAAAAUACCUUCCCGAAUCCUACGCGAGCUGCUCCUAUAUAGCUAAGAGCUCACUACUAGUUGUGGCACAAACUUUAGAAAAUAUACUAGCAGAGGCUACAUACCACCCGCGCUAGAAUAUUGCUGGUUCUCAGUAAAAUUUAUUAAUUAAAACAUGUAGUAAAUCUACAGUGUAAGAUCCUAGAGGACAAGCCCUAUGAUCCUAAGCUAAACUAAAUAAUAGUUAUUAAAUUAGGCCUAAAAACAGCCAUACACAGUACUUUACCGUCCUGCUACCAAAAUAAAUAAUUCACAUGCUUUAAAAAACUGAGAUUUGAGAUAAACAUUCAACCUCAAUAUAAUAUGUAAAAAUAAGUAUUAGAAUAUUAUCUACCGCCAAACUACAAACAUCCCUACAAAUGCUUAUAAAGGAACUCGGCAAUACUUAUUUUUCUUGACACAAAAUAAGAAGUAAUUCCUGCCCAGUGAUUCACAUUCAACGGCCGCGGUAUCCUAACCGUGCAAAGGUAGCAUAAUCACUUGCCCAUUAAUUGUGGGCUAGAAUGAAAGGACCAACGAAAUAAAAACUGUCUCUAUAAGCCACAUAAAAAUUAAUCUCUAACUGAAGAGUGUUAGAUUGCGUCGAAGGACAAGAAGACCCUAUAGAGCUUCAUUUUAAUGAAGACUAAAACUUCCCUAAAAUUCGGUUGGGGCGACCGGGGAAAAUUUAUCAUCCCUAAUUAAUAGAUCAAUUAAUCAAAUUUUUUUGACCCUUAACAAAGAUCACCAAAAUAAGCUACCUUAGGGAUAACAGGCUAAUCCCGUUAAAGAGUCCUUAUCAAUAACGGGGGUUGGCACCUCGAUGUUGGCUUAGGGAAUCUAUGUGGCGCAAAAGUCACAUAAAGAUGGUUUGUUCAACCAAUAAUACCCUACAUGAGCUGAGUUCAGACCGGCGUAAGCCAGGUUAGCUUCUAUCCUCGAUAAUAAACCUGUUUAUAGUACGAAAGGACCUAAAUAAGGAUAAUAAUUAUACCUUACUGAAAUAAUAUAAAUUAGACUAAACCUCACUUUACAUAAACUA
This 1219-nucleotide ribosomal RNA is filed under the name Allolobophora molleri. RNAcentral's name for it is "Aporrectodea molleri partial 16S ribosomal RNA". The stretch from base 757 to 1123 matches the Rfam family "Bacterial large subunit ribosomal RNA", at positions 2049 to 2651 of the family's 2925-position model. Lineage: Eukaryota; Metazoa; Annelida; Clitellata; Crassiclitellata; Lumbricidae. The record is from RNAcentral.